UAAAACGUAGGGGGCGAGCGUUAUCCGGAAUUACUGGGCGGAAAGGGCGUCUAGGCGGCAGAGUAAGUCUCAUGUGAAAGCUCCCGGCUCAACUGGGAGAGGGCGUGGGAAACUGCUUAGCUAGAGUGUCGGAGAGGGGUGUGGAAUUCCCGGUGGAGUGGUGGAAUGCGUUGAGAUCGGGAGGAACACCAGAAGCGAAGGCGGCGCCCUGGCCGACUACUGACGCUGAAGCGCGAAAGCGUGGGGAGCGAACGGGAUUAGAUACCCCGGUAGUCCACGCUGUAAACGAUGACAACUAGGUGUUGGGUGUCGAAGGACGUUCAGUGCCGCAGCUAACGCGAUAAGUUGUCCGCCUGGGGAGUACGGCCGCAAGGCUA
This 377-nucleotide ribosomal RNA is filed under the name uncultured Caldilineae bacterium. RNAcentral's name for it is "bacterial SSU rRNA". It matches the Rfam family "Bacterial small subunit ribosomal RNA", at positions 521 to 896 of the family's 1533-position model. The record is from RNAcentral. Lineage: Bacteria; Bacillati; Chloroflexota; Caldilineae.